AGACGUCUACAUUAGAUACCCGUGUAGUCCCAGCCGUAAACUAUGCGCGUUAGGUGUAUCGGUGACCACGAGUUACCGAGGUGCCGAAGGGAAACCGUGAAACGUGCCGCCUGGGAAGUACGGUCGCAAGGCUGAAACUUAAAGGAAUUGGCGGGGGAGCACCGCAACGGGAGGAGCGUGCGGUUUAAUUGGAUUCAACACCGUAAAACUCACCAGGGAAGACUGUUACAUGAAAGCCGAGAUGAAGACUCUGCUAGAUUUUCAG
Molecule: ribosomal RNA, 265 nt
Filed under: uncultured archaeon
Lineage: Archaea
Description: partial 16S ribosomal RNA
Rfam family: Archaeal small subunit ribosomal RNA
Source: RNAcentral